UUAGUUAAAGCCAAACUAGAGGCGUGUCACUGUUAAUGAUAGAACUGAAAUUUAAUUUCUAACUAAG
RNAcentral lists this transfer RNA (67 nucleotides) under Neocaridina denticulata (Japanese swamp shrimp). Its description in RNAcentral is "tRNA-Asn". Lineage: Eukaryota; Metazoa; Arthropoda; Malacostraca; Decapoda; Atyidae. RNAcentral also lists the same sequence under 1 other name. The record is from RNAcentral.